Long non-coding RNA from Nycticebus coucang (slow loris), 3353 nucleotides. RefSeq lists it as uncharacterized. NCBI's taxonomy places the organism in Eukaryota, Metazoa, Chordata, Mammalia, Primates, Lorisidae. The transcript is spliced from 3 exons. The record is from RefSeq and is a predicted model, not a curated record.
CUCCCACAGUGACUACUCCUCCCACAGUGAGCUUUCCUCCCACAGUGAGCACUCCUCCCACAGUGAGCACUCCUCCCAUGGUAACUGCUCCUCCCAGGGUGACUGCUCCUCCCACAGUGAGCACUCCUCCCACAGUGAGUGCUCCUCACACAGUGAUCAACCCUUCCAUGGUGACUGCUCCUUCCAUGGUGACUGCUCCUCCCACGGUGACUACUCCUCCCACAGUGACUACUCCUCCCACAGUGAGCUUUCCUCCCACAGUGAGUGCUCCUCCCACAGUAAGCACUCCUCCCACGGUGAGCAUUCCUCCCAUGGUAACUGUUCCUCCCAGGGUGACUGCUCCUCCCACAGUGAUCAGUCCUCCCACAGUGAGUGCUCCUCCCACAGUGAUCACUCUGUGACCACACCCCCAUACAAUGCACAGACCUCCCCCUCUGGCUCACUCCCACUGGCCCACCCACAGGCCUUUUCUUUUCCCCAGAACUCCUUUUCCUUCAUAUUCCAAUCUUUCUCUUUUCAGAACAUUCCACUGAGAGCUUUGCCAUGAACGUCACAUGGCAAAUAUUCUCAUCUCAGGCCACUUUGCUUUCUCUACAACGUGGAUGACCAGAUAGCCUACUUAGGCACAGGUGUCUUAGAGGACUGCCCUUCACCACCCUUUCCAGGGCCCUCCCUGAGGGGUGCUGCCUACAGGCCACUUUCAUGUGCACCAAUGAAUCAAGUCAGCCUGGCCCCACAGACAAGCCCUGGAGGGACUGAUGGAGAAACAGAAGAACAAGGAUGGAGGGUGAUGUGACCAUUUGUGCAACUUCCUUGUUUUCUCUGGACCUGCUCGAGCAGCCCUGGCUAUCCCACUUCCCCUUGUGAGCAGUCCACCCAAUCUUGUAAGUAAAUGACAUCUUCCCCAGAUCCAUGGCUGCCUUCCAUGGGCUGAAGACUCUGCUGAUCUACGGAGAGACGCUCUGCCUGGCACAGUAGCUGCAGCUGGACCAGUGACCCUGCUCACUCUGUGCACCUUUACUGUUCCACUCACUUUACACCAGGUUUGCGUCUGGUGAGGUAAGGAGGCUGUGACAAGCACUGCAGCUCCUACAUCCUUUUGGUCUCUGAGAGUGACACUUACCUCUGGCUUCCUGCCACCAACACAAGACGUGGUGGAGCCUGCAGUGUACGCUGCUGUGAGGGAAGGGGCCUUGCUCACUGCAGAGUCUUGUAUUCUAGGCCACAGAAGUGAUGACAAGCACAUUAAUUCCUGUUGUCCUGCAGGACCAGGGAGGCGAGGGCCGGGAGCUGGCCUGGAGCCAGGAUUUCACUUAGUACCUGACCCUCUGGUUUCCAGUCUAAUAAGGGGGUCAUGGUAGCACCUUGGGUCCCCAAGUAUCAAUGUCAGUUUGAUAAACCUUGAAGAGCACAGGUAUUCCUAUUGCUCACCAUGCAUUUGCCUAAAAAAAUGUCCAACCUGUCAUGCUAACUGGGAAAGCAGUGGAAGCGCUGCUGGGAACACCUGCUCCAGUGUUACAGGUGCUUCCUGGGAAGAAUCUGCUUCUCCUUCAUCAGUGGGCUCUGGGUUGAGAGUUAGCUCAAGGCAAGAAACUCUGCCCACCAUGCCCCUCUGGUAAUGCAUACCUGAUCUCUUAUGGUUUUAUAAAUUAAGCAUCAUCCCUGCUGGCUGCUGUCUGGCCCCUUCCAGAGCGAUGUAUCCACAGGCCAUCUCCACAGCUCUCUGCAGGUCCUCUAGGUCACCCCGGGAGAGUGGUCCUGGCACAGGCACAACAGUACGUGUCUGCCCACCACUCAGCUAUCUGGUCCCUUCCUCUACCAUGCACCUCCAUGGGGGUUCCAGCCUUCUCGGGCUUUCAAGCUCCAUCCUAGGCAAGGUUUUGUCUCCAGGGACACUUGCUGAGGUUCUCAGCCCUGGACCAGGCACAGUGCUCCAUCUCCAUAAACUCACUUGUUCAGCAUUACAUCUGUGCCCUUGGAUUCAGCCACAGGUAUACACUUCUGGGCCUUCCUGGGACCUGUUAGCCGGAUCCUCUAGCUCCUUCCCUUCAGUUCCUCUCAGCCAGCCACUCCAGCUCAUCCCCCUCAGGCUGGGCUGGAUCUGCUUCUUGUUGCCCAUCUGGUUAGAGGGAGGAAGAAGCAUUGUCUCCUAAGGCACCUGGCUACUCAGGGUCCUACAGAUCUUCAAGAGCGGAAUCCACGAUCUUCUACCUGGGUAAGGGGGAGGCCACUUCUGCAAGCCCAGAAGAUUUGGGGGAUGCCAGAGUUCAGGUUCUCAAUUGUCCAGGGACCCCACCCCAAGCAUCAGGAUUGCACCUCUUGUCUAUUAGGGCCUUGACAUUGGAGGGCUGAGAACUUGCCCAGUCCUAUGAUGGAGGCUGUUCCUCCAGCUGACCUGCCUUCCAGGUAAAGACACAAGGGUUUUCUUAAAGGCUGCCAAAGAGGGGCUUUGGCUUUCACAGUUUGCCCAAAACCAGUGAUGAGUCAUCCUGAGCCCAGGCCUCACUCUCUUCCUCACUCGGCAGUGGGUGCUUCAGGCGCCCACGCCUUCUAGUUACCAUUUCCCCAGGGCCCUUCGAGCCCAUCCCGGCUCCACCAGGGCUGGGCUCUGUCGUCAGCUGGCCACAUGCCCCACCUCCAGUUUCCCAUGGACAGUCCACUUCUCACAACCACUUGCAGUGUCAACUGCCUUAGAGAUUUCCUGGGAACAGUCUGAGAAGGUGAACUGCGUGAAGAAAGUUUAACAGGGAGCAUUGCUCAGAGGCUCCCCUGCAGGGAGUACAAAGGCAGGUGGUUACAGAAGGUGACACAACUCACAGUGUAGUAACAACUGGAGACCCCCCAGCCCAUCCUCAGAGGUGCUCUAGUGCUGAAAUGGCCCUCGGGGUUGUCGAGGUGAGAGGGCCAAGCCUUGGUAUUUCUGCCUCAUCCAGUUACUGAGGGGACAUGACUGUCAUUCCCUACAGCAGAAGGUGGUGUCCAAUGUGGGACUCAGCCAUGACCACCAGCUGUUGUCCCUUCCAGCAAGUGCGGGCCUGGGGCAUCAGUGUUCCCUGCCCCCAGAGCAGGACUGCUGUUCUCUGGACCUCACCUAGAUAAGGUGCAGGGAAAGGACCCCUUUGAAUGGGAAAAACAGUAAAGGGAGCAAAGAAAUCACAGCAGAAGGGGACACCUCCGUGCCCCAUGUCACGGUGUGCCAAGAAUCACCCACUCUUCCCCGAAACUAUUAAGAUCUCUCUGCCUUCAACUCAGAAAACAUCUUAAGGGUUGUGUCACUGUCUUCCAGGUCCCUAAACUGUCAAUGCCUAGCACAGGAGCACCCAACAAGUGUGGAGUCAAUAAAUAAAUCAUUA